CGGAGGAAAAGAAACCAACAGGGAUUGCCUUAGUAACGGCGAGUGAAGCGGCAAAAGCUCAAAUUUGAAAUCUGGCACCUUCGGUGUCCGAGUUGUAAUUUGAAGAAGGUAACUUUGGAGUUGGCUCUUGUCUAUGUUCCUUGGAACAGGACGUCACAGAGGGUGAGAAUCCCGUGCGAUGAGAUGCCCAAUUCUAUGUAAAGUGCUUUCGAAGAGUCGAGUUGUUUGGGAAUGCAGCUCUAAGUGGGUGGUAAAUUCCAUCUAAAGCUAAAUAUUGGCGAGAGACCGAUAGCGAACAAGUACAGUGAUGGAAAGAUGAAAAGAACUUUGAAAAGAGAGUGAAAAAGUACGUGAAAUUGUUGAAAGGGAAGGGCUUGAGAUCAGACUUGGUAUUUUGCGAUCCUUUCCUUCUUGGUUGGGUUCCUCGCAGCUUACUGGGCCAGCAUCGGUUUGGAUGGUAGGAUAAUGACUAAGGAAUGUGGCUCUACUUCGGUGGAGUGUUAUAGCCUUGGUUGAUACUGCCUGUCUAGACCGAGGACUGCGU
RNAcentral lists this ribosomal RNA (544 nucleotides) under Debaryomyces hansenii. RNAcentral describes it as "eukaryotic LSU rRNA". It matches the Rfam family "Eukaryotic large subunit ribosomal RNA", at positions 51 to 600 of the family's 3401-position model. The record is from RNAcentral. Lineage: Eukaryota; Fungi; Ascomycota; Pichiomycetes; Serinales; Debaryomycetaceae.